This 69-nucleotide transfer RNA is filed under the name Bos taurus (domestic cattle). It matches the Rfam family "tRNA". From Rfam's summary of the family: Transfer RNA (tRNA) molecules are approximately 80 nucleotides in length. Their secondary structure includes four short double-helical elements and three loops (D, anti-codon, and T loops). The record is from Rfam by way of RNAcentral. RNAcentral also lists the same sequence under 4 other names. Lineage: Eukaryota; Metazoa; Chordata; Mammalia; Artiodactyla; Bovidae.
CCUGGUGGCUCAGAUGGUAAAGCGUUUGCCUGCAAUGCAGGAGACCUGGGUUCUAUCCCUAGAUCGGGA